AUUGAACGCUGGCGGCAGGCCUAACACAUGCAAGUCGAGCGGUAACAGGGGAAGCUUGCUUCUCGCUGACGAGCGGCGGACGGGUGAGUAAUGUAUGGGGAUCUGCCCGAUAGAGGGGGAUAACCACCGGAAACGGUGGCUAAUACCGCAUAAUCUCUUAGGAGCAAAGCAGGGGAACUUCGGUCCUUGCGCUAUCGGAUGAACCCAUAUGGGAUUAGCUAGUAGGUGAGGUAAUGGCUCACCUAGGCGACGAUCCCUAGCUGGUCUGAGAGGAUGAUCAGCCACACUGGGACUGAGACACGGCCCAGACUCCUACAGGAGGCAGCAGUGGGGAAUAUUGCACAAUGGGCGCAAGCCUGAUGCAGCCAUGCCGCGUGUAUGAAGAAGGCCUUAGGGUUGUAAAGUACUUUCAGUCGGGAGGAAGGCGUUGAUGCUAAUAUCAUCAACGAUUGACGUUACCGACAGAAGAAGCACCGGCUAACUCCGUGCCAGCAGCCGCGGUAAUACGGAGGGUGCAAGCGUUAAUCGGAAUUACUGGGCGUAAAGCGCACGCAGGCGGUUGAUUAAGUUAGAUGUGAAAUCCCCGGGCUUAACCUGGGAAUGGCAUCUAAGACUGGUCAGCUAGAGUCUUGUAGAGGGGGGUAGAAUUCCAUGUGUAGCGGUGAAAUGCGUAGAGAUGUGGAGGAAUACCGGUGGCGAAGGCGGCCCCCUGGACAAAGACUGACGCUCAGGUGCGA
RNAcentral lists this ribosomal RNA (737 nucleotides) under uncultured bacterium. RNAcentral's name for it is "bacterial SSU rRNA". It matches the Rfam family "Bacterial small subunit ribosomal RNA", at positions 28 to 756 of the family's 1533-position model. The record is from RNAcentral.